GAGUUUGAUCAUGGCUCAGGAUGAACGCUAGCGGGAGGCCUAACACAUGCAAGCUGAGCGGUAGAUUUUCUUCGGAAGAUUGAGAGCGGCGAACGGGUGAGUAACACGUGAGUAACCUGCCCAUGUCUCUGGGAUAAGCGCUGGAAACGGCGUCUAAUACUGGAUAUGACCCAUACCGGCAUCGGUUGUGGGUGGAAAGAUUUAUCGGACAUGGAUGGGCUCGCGGCCUAUCAGCUGGAUGGUGGGGUAAUGGCUCACCAUGGCGACGACGGGUAGCCGGCCUGAGAGGGUGACCGGCCACACUGGGACUGAGACACGGCCCAGACUCCUACGGGAGGCAGCAGUGGGGAAUAUUGCACAAUGGGCGAAAGCCUGAUGCAGCAACGCCGCGUGAGGGAUGACGGCCUUCGGGUUGUAAACCUCUUUUAGUAGGGAAGAAGCGAGAGUGACGGUACCUGCAGAAAAAGCACCGGCUAACUACGUGCCAGCAGCCGCGGUAAU
Molecule: ribosomal RNA, 501 nt
Filed under: uncultured Leucobacter sp.
Lineage: Bacteria; Bacillati; Actinomycetota; Actinomycetes; Micrococcales; Microbacteriaceae
Description: bacterial SSU rRNA
Rfam family: Bacterial small subunit ribosomal RNA
Source: RNAcentral